RNAcentral lists this non-coding RNA (46 nucleotides) under Trichobilharzia regenti. Lineage: Eukaryota; Metazoa; Platyhelminthes; Trematoda; Strigeidida; Schistosomatidae. The record is from RNAcentral.
GUACUCCUGAUGAGUUCCAAACUAGAAUGAAACACUUGUCGAGUAC